Molecule: unclassified non-coding RNA, 337 nt
Filed under: soil metagenome
Description: partial contains 5.8S ribosomal RNA, internal transcribed spacer 2, and large subunit ribosomal RNA
Rfam family: 5.8S ribosomal RNA (bases 1-120)
Source: RNAcentral
GAUGAAGAACGCAGUGAAAUGCGAUAAGUAGUGUGAAUUGCAGAAUUCAGUGAAUCAUCGAAUCUUUGAACACACAUUGCGCCCCUUGGUAUUCCAUGGGGCAUGCCUGUUCGAGCGUCAUUUGUACCUUCAAGCUCUGCUUGGUGUUGGGUGUUUGUCUCGCCUCUGCGUGUAGACUCGCCUCAAAACAAUUGGCAGCCGGCGUAUUGAUUUCGGAGCGCAGUACAUCUCGCGCUUUGCACUCAUAACGACGACGUCCAAAAGUACAUUUUUACACUCUUGACCUCGGAUCAGGUAGGGAUACCCGCUGAACUUAAGCAUAUCAAUAAGCGGAGGA